UACGUAGGGGGCUAGCGUUGUCCGGAAUCAUUGGGCGUAAAGCGCGCGUAGGCGGCCCGGUAAGUCCGCUGUGAAAGUCAAAGGCUCAACCUUUGAAUGUCAGCGGAUACUGCCGGGCUAGAGUCCGGAAGAGGCGAGUGGAACUCCUGGUGUAGCGGUGAAAUGCGCAGAUAUCAGGAGGAACACCAAUGGCGAAGGCAGCUCGCUGGAACGGUACUGACGCUGAGGCGCGAAAGCGUGGGGAGCGAACAGG
RNAcentral lists this ribosomal RNA (253 nucleotides) under uncultured bacterium. Its description in RNAcentral is "partial 16S ribosomal RNA". It matches the Rfam family "Bacterial small subunit ribosomal RNA", at positions 524 to 776 of the family's 1533-position model. The record is from RNAcentral.